RNAcentral lists this non-coding RNA (103 nucleotides) under human gut metagenome. Its description in RNAcentral is "Glycine riboswitch". It matches the Rfam family "Glycine riboswitch aptamer", at positions 7 to 88 of the family's 94-position model. Rfam says of the family: This family represents the bacterial glycine riboswitch. Glycine riboswitches usually consist of two metabolite-binding aptamers domains with similar structures in tandem. The record is from RNAcentral.
UUACUCUGGAGAGUCUUUGAUGCGGUUGGUUGCAGCCGUAUGAAAAGCGCCGAAGGUGUAGCGCAGGAAACUGCCAAUCUCUCAGGCAAAAGGACAGAGCAUU